RNAcentral lists this non-coding RNA (168 nucleotides) under uncultured Prevotella sp. The record is from RNAcentral. Lineage: Bacteria; Pseudomonadati; Bacteroidota; Bacteroidia; Bacteroidales; Prevotellaceae.
AAGCGGUUCGCCCCCCAACGGGCGAUUAAAAGGGAACCGGGUGAGAAUCCCGGACAGUCCCGCUGCUGUAUGCCGCCCUUGUCACGGACUUGGACACGAUGCCACUGCACUAUUGUUGGGAAGGCGUCCACGCUCCGGGCGGCGAGUCAGAAGACCUGCCAUUGCGAG